AAUAUUUGCAAUGGACUAUUACCCCUGGCUUGAGGCUUUUCAUGUAAUUUCAAUUAUUAUGUGGAUGGCAGGUCUAUUAUAUUUGCCGAGACUUUACGUUUACCAUGCAACCAUGAAGCAUGGAUCAGAAAGCGACAUCUUGCUGCAAAUAAUGGAGAAAAGGCUUUUAAGAUACAUAAUAAACCCUGCUAUGUGCUUUUCACUUGGCUUGGGAAUAACAUUAACGAUAAUAAGAGAAGCAUAUAGAGAAGGAUGGUUUCACAUAAAAAUGCUUGCUGUAUGUUUAAUGUUGAUUAUUCAUAUGCUGCUUGCAAGGCAUAGAAAGGAUUUUGUCACGGGUUUAAAUAAGAAAACCCAUACUUAUUUCCGUGUUUUGAAUGAAACAGUAACAGCGUUAGUUAUAGUUAUAGUUAUUAUGGCCAUCGUAAAACCUUUUAGAUAACUCAGAGAAAACAGCCAUCAAUUUUACUAUUAUUUACCAGAUGAUACACCCGAUAACCAUAUAUAUCAGGUAUAGAGAUCGACAGACAAGUAAAUCAUGCGGGAAGUAUUAGACGCAUAAUAGCGCAUGUUGUUAAUUAAG
Molecule: non-coding RNA, 583 nt
Organism: Cinara cedri
Lineage: Eukaryota; Metazoa; Arthropoda; Insecta; Hemiptera; Aphididae
Source: the annotation of a GenBank genome assembly